CAACCCUUGACAUCCUCGGACCGCCAGAGAGAUCUGGUUUUCACUUCGGUGACCGAGUGACAGGUGCUGCAUGGCUGUCGUCAGCUCGUGUCGUGAGAUGUUCGGUUAAGUCCGGCAACGAGCGCAACCCACAUCUUCAGUUGCCAGCAGUUCGGCUGGGCACUCUGGAGAAACUGCCCGUGAUAAGCGGGAGGAAGGUGUGGAUGACGUCAAGUCCUCAUGGCCCUUACGGGUUGGGCUACACACGUGCUACAAUGGCAGUGACAAUGGGUUAAUCCCAAAAAACUGUCUCAGUUCGGAUUGGGGUCUGCAACUCGACCCCAUGAAGUCGGAAUCGCUAGUAAUCGCGUAACAGCAUGACGCGGUGAAUACGUUCCC
RNAcentral lists this ribosomal RNA (378 nucleotides) under Alloyangia pacifica. RNAcentral's name for it is "bacterial SSU rRNA". It matches the Rfam family "Bacterial small subunit ribosomal RNA", at positions 975 to 1375 of the family's 1533-position model. The record is from RNAcentral. Lineage: Bacteria; Pseudomonadati; Pseudomonadota; Alphaproteobacteria; Rhodobacterales; Roseobacteraceae.